This 2934-nucleotide ribosomal RNA is filed under the name Yersinia pestis subsp. microtus bv. Caucasica. Its description in RNAcentral is "bacterial LSU rRNA". It matches the Rfam family "Bacterial large subunit ribosomal RNA". Lineage: Bacteria; Pseudomonadati; Pseudomonadota; Gammaproteobacteria; Enterobacterales; Yersiniaceae. The record is from RNAcentral.
GGGUUGUGAGGUUAAGCGACUAAGCGUACACGGUGGAUGCCUAGGCAGUCAGAGGCGAUGAAGGGCGUGCUAAUCUGCGAAAAGCGUCGGUAAGCUGAUAUGAAGCGUUAUAACCGACGAUACCCGAAUGGGGAAACCCAGUGCAAUACGUUGCACUAUCGUUAGAUGAAUACAUAGUCUAACGAGGCGAACCGGGGGAACUGAAACAUCUAAGUACCCCGAGGAAAAGAAAUCAACCGAGAUUCCCCCAGUAGCGGCGAGCGAACGGGGAGGAGCCCAGAGUCUGAAUCAGUUUGUGUGUUAGUGGAAGCGUCUGGAAAGUCGCACGGUACAGGGUGAUAGUCCCGUACACCAAAAUGCACAGGCUGUGAACUCGAUGAGUAGGGCGGGACACGUGACAUCCUGUCUGAAUAUGGGGGGACCAUCCUCCAAGGCUAAAUACUCCUGACUGACCGAUAGUGAACCAGUACCGUGAGGGAAAGGCGAAAAGAACCCCGGCGAGGGGAGUGAAAUAGAACCUGAAACCGUGUACGUACAAGCAGUGGGAGCACCUUCGUGGUGUGACUGCGUACCUUUUGUAUAAUGGGUCAGCGACUUAUAUUUUGUAGCAAGGUUAACCGAAUAGGGGAGCCGUAGGGAAACCGAGUCUUAACUGGGCGUCUAGUUGCAAGGUAUAGACCCGAAACCCGGUGAUCUAGCCAUGGGCAGGUUGAAGGUUGGGUAACACUAACUGGAGGACCGAACCGACUAAUGUUGAAAAAUUAGCGGAUGACUUGUGGCUGGGGGUGAAAGGCCAAUCAAACCGGGAGAUAGCUGGUUCUCCCCGAAAGCUAUUUAGGUAGCGCCUCGUGAACUCAUCUUCGGGGGUAGAGCACUGUUUCGGCUAGGGGGCCAUCCCGGCUUACCAAACCGAUGCAAACUCCGAAUACCGAAGAAUGUUAUCACGGGAGACACACGGCGGGUGCUAACGUCCGUCGUGAAGAGGGAAACAACCCAGACCGCCAGCUAAGGUCCCAAAGUCAUGGUUAAGUGGGAAACGAUGUGGGAAGGCACAGACAGCCAGGAUGUUGGCUUAGAAGCAGCCAUCAUUUAAAGAAAGCGUAAUAGCUCACUGGUCGAGUCGGCCUGCGCGGAAGAUAUAACGGGGCUAAACCAUGCACCGAAGCUGCGGCAGCGACGUUUAGGCGUUGUUGGGUAGGGGAGCGUUCUGUAAGCCGUUGAAGGUGACCUGUGAGGGUUGCUGGAGGUAUCAGAAGUGCGAAUGCUGACAUAAGUAACGAUAAUGCGGGUGAAAAACCCGCACGCCGGAAGACCAAGGGUUCCUGUCCAACGUUAAUCGGGGCAGGGUGAGUCGACCCCUAAGGCGAGGCUGAAAAGCGUAGUCGAUGGGAAACAGGUUAAUAUUCCUGUACUUGGUGUUACUGCGAAGGGGGGACGGAGAAGGCUAGGCUGGCCGGGCGACGGUUGUCCCGGUUUAAGCGUGUAGGGGGAGUGACCAGGUAAAUCCGGUUGCUUAUCAACCCUGAGGCGUGAUGACGAUGCACCACGGUGCAGAAGCAGUUGAUGCCAUGCUUCCAGGAAAAGCCUCUAAGCAUCAGGUAACAUUAAAUCGUACCCCAAACCGACACAGGUGGUCAGGUAGAGAAUACUCAGGCGCUUGAGAGAACUCGGGUGAAGGAACUAGGCAAAAUGGUGCCGUAACUUCGGGAGAAGGCACGCUGGCGUUAGGUGAAAGGACUAGCUCCUGGAGCUGAAGCCAGUCGCAGAUACCAGCUGGCUGCAACUGUUUAAUAAAAACACAGCACUGUGCAAACACGAAAGUGGACGUAUACGGUGUGACGCCUGCCCGGUGCUGGAAGGUUAAUUGAUGGGGUCAGCCGCAAGGCGAAGCUCUUGAUCGAAGCCCCAGUAAACGGCGGCCGUAACUAUAACGGUCCUAAGGUAGCGAAAUUCCUUGUCGGGUAAGUUCCGACCUGCACGAAUGGCGUAAUGAUGGCCAGGCUGUCUCCACCCGAGACUCAGUGAAAUUGAACUCGCUGUGAAGAUGCAGUGUACCCGCGGCAAGACGGAAAGACCCCGUGAACCUUUACUAUAGCUUGACACUGAACAUUGAGCCUUGAUGUGUAGGAUAGGUGGGAGGCCUUGAAGUGUGGACGCCAGUCUGCAUGGAGCCAACCUUGAAAUACCACCCUUUAAUGUUUGAUGUUCUAACUCGGCCCCAUGAUCUGGGGUGAGGACAGUGUCUGGUGGGUAGUUUGACUGGGGCGGUCUCCUCCCAAAGAGUAACGGAGGAGCACGAAGGUUAGCUAAUCACGGUCGGACAUCGUGAGGUUAGUGCAAAGGCAUAAGCUAGCUUGACUGCGAGAGUGACGGCUCGAGCAGGUACGAAAGUAGGUCUUAGUGAUCCGGUGGUUCUGAAUGGAAGGGCCAUCGCUCAACGGAUAAAAGGUACUCCGGGGAUAACAGGCUGAUACCGCCCAAGAGUUCAUAUCGACGGCGGUGUUUGGCACCUCGAUGUCGGCUCAUCACAUCCUGGGGCUGAAGUAGGUCCCAAGGGUAUGGCUGUUCGCCAUUUAAAGUGGUACGCGAGCUGGGUUUAGAACGUCGUGAGACAGUUCGGUCCCUAUCUGCCGUGGGCGUUGGAAGAUUGAGAGGGGCUGCUCCUAGUACGAGAGGACCGGAGUGGACGAAUCACUGGUGUUCGGGUUGUCAUGCCAAUGGCAUUGCCCGGUAGCUAAAUUCGGAAGAGAUAACCGCUGAAAGCAUCUAAGCGGGAAACUUGCCUCGAGAUGAGUCUUCCCUGGGGCUUAAAGCCCCCUGAAGGAACGUUAAAGACUAUGACGUUGAUAGGCUGGGUGUGUAAGUGCAGCGAUGUAUUGAGCUAACCAGUACUAAUGAUCCGUGAGGCUUAACCUUACAACACCGAAGGUGUUU